This 452-nucleotide ribosomal RNA is filed under the name uncultured bacterium. RNAcentral describes it as "bacterial SSU rRNA". It matches the Rfam family "Bacterial small subunit ribosomal RNA", at positions 29 to 526 of the family's 1533-position model. The record is from RNAcentral.
AACGAACGCUGGCGGCAGGCCUAACACAUGCAAGUCGAGCGCCCUCUUCGGAGGGAGCGGCGGACGGGUUAGUAACGCGUGGGAAUAUACCCUUCACUAAGGAAUAGCCACUGGAAACGGUGAGUAAUACCUUAUACGCCCUUUGGGGGAAAGAUUUAUCGGUGAAGGAUUAGCCCGCGUUAGAUUAGUUAGUUGGUGGGGUAACGGCCUACCAAGACGACGAUCUAUAGCUGGUUUGAGAGGAUGAUCAGCAACACUGGGACUGAGACACGGCCCAGACUCCUACGGGAGGCAGCAGUGGGGAAUCUUAGACAAUGGGGGCAACCCUGAUCUAGCCAUGCCGCGUGAGUGAAGAAGGCCCUAGGGUCGUAAAGCUCUUUCGCCUGUGAUGAUAAUGACAGUAGCAGGUAAAGAAACCCCGGCUAACUCCGUGCCAGCCGCCGCCGUAACAC